GACAGAGGGUGCAAACGUUGCUCGGAAUCACUGGGCGUAAAGGGCGUGUAGGCGGGCGUGCAAGUCAGGCGUGAAAUCCCUGGGCUCAACCCAGGAAUUGCACUUGAAACUGCACGUCUUGAGUAUCGGAGAGGAAAGUGGAAUUCCUGGUGUAGAGGUGAAAUUCGUAGAUAUUAGGAAGAACACCGGUGGCGAAGGCGACUCUCUGGUCUGUAACUGACGCUGAGGUGCGAAAGCGUGGGUAGCAAACAGG
RNAcentral lists this ribosomal RNA (253 nucleotides) under uncultured bacterium. RNAcentral's name for it is "partial 16S ribosomal RNA". It matches the Rfam family "Bacterial small subunit ribosomal RNA", at positions 524 to 776 of the family's 1533-position model. The record is from RNAcentral.